RNAcentral lists this ribosomal RNA (515 nucleotides) under uncultured Glomus. RNAcentral describes it as "SSU rRNA". It matches the Rfam family "Eukaryotic small subunit ribosomal RNA", at positions 576 to 1092 of the family's 1831-position model. The record is from RNAcentral. Lineage: Eukaryota; Fungi; Glomeromycota; Glomeromycetes; Glomerales; Glomeraceae.
GCGGUAAUUCCAGCUCAAUAGCGUAUAUUAAAGUUGUUGCAGUUAAAAAGCUCGUAGUUGAAUUUCGGGAUCAAUUUAUCGGUCGUGCCUACGGUAUGAACUGGUACAAUUGGUUUCUCCCUUCUGACGAAGCAUGAUGUCAUUAAUUUGGUGUCGUGGGGAAUCAGGACUGUUACUUUGAAAAAAUUAGAGUGUUUAAAGCAAGCAUUAGCUUGAAUACAUUAGCAUGGAAUAAUGAAAUAGGACGUUUGAUCCUAUUUCGUUGGUUUCUAGGAUCGACGUAAUGAUUAAUAGGGAUAGUUGGGGGCAUUAGUAUUCAAUUGUCAGAGGUGAAAUUCUUGGAUUUAUUGAAGACUAACUACUGCGAAAGCAUUUGCCAAGGAUGUUUUCAUUAAUCAAGAACGAAAGUUAGGGGGAUCGAAGACGAUCAGAUACCGUCGUAGUCUUAACCAUAAACUAUGCCGACUAGGGAUCGGAUGAUGUUAAUUUUUUAAUGACUCAUUCGGCGCCUUACG